GACGAACGCUGGCGGCGUGCUUAACACAUGCAAGUCGAACGGAAAGGCCCUGCUUUUGUGGGGUGCUCGAGUGGCGAACGGGUGAGUAACACGUGAGUAACCUGCCCUUGACUUUGGGAUAACUUCAGGAAACUGGGGCUAAUACCGGAUAGGAGCUCCUGCUGCAUGGUGGGGGUUGGAACGUUUCGGCGGUUGGGGAUGGACUCGCGGCUUAUCAGCUUGUUGGUGGGGUAGUGGCUUACCAAGGCUUUGACGGGUAGCCGGCCUGAGAGGGUGACCGGCCACAUGGGGACUGAGAUACGGCCCAGACUGCUACGGGGGGCAGCAGUGGGGAAUAUUGCACAAUAGGGGGAAGCCUGAUGCAGCAACGCCGCGUGCGGGAUGACGGCCUUCGGGUUGUAAACCGCUUUCGCCUGUGACGAAGCGUGAAUGACGGUAAUGGGUAAAGAAGCACCGGCUAACUACGUG
This 468-nucleotide ribosomal RNA is filed under the name uncultured bacterium. Its description in RNAcentral is "partial 16S ribosomal RNA". It matches the Rfam family "Bacterial small subunit ribosomal RNA", at positions 28 to 507 of the family's 1533-position model. The record is from RNAcentral.